AACGGUCUAUACCUGCGGUACCUGCGGAAGGAUCAUUACUGAGUUAGGGUCUUCGUGGCCCGAACCUCCAACCCUUUGUUUACCAAACUCUUGUUGCUUCGGCGGGCCCGUCUUUAGACUGCCGGGGGUACUGUUAAACGUCCCCUGGCCCGUGCCCGCCGGUGGCCAACCUUUUAACAAACUCUUGAAUUGAAUCGUGGUCAAACGUCUAAGAAUAAUCAAUAAAAGCAAAAACUUUCA
This 240-nucleotide unclassified non-coding RNA is filed under the name soil metagenome. RNAcentral's name for it is "partial contains 5.8S ribosomal RNA, internal transcribed spacer 2, and large subunit ribosomal RNA". The record is from RNAcentral.